This 332-nucleotide ribosomal RNA is filed under the name uncultured eukaryote. RNAcentral's name for it is "partial 18S ribosomal RNA". It matches the Rfam family "Eukaryotic small subunit ribosomal RNA", at positions 1470 to 1796 of the family's 1831-position model. The record is from RNAcentral.
CCCUUAGAUGUUCUGGGCUGCACACGUGCUACACUGGCAGGUUCAGCGAGCUUCAUGCCCUGAUCUGAAAGGAAUGGGAAAUCUUUUCAAAACCUGCCGUGCUUGGGAUAGAUGUUUGCAAUUAUUCAUCUUCAACGAGGAUUGCCUUGUAAGCGCACGUCAUCAGCGUGCAUUGAAUACGACCCUGUAUUCUGUACACACCGCCCGUCGCUCCUACCGAUUGAAGUUUUCGGUGAGUUGACAGGAGGAUUUUUUUGAAACUGGUUCGCCAGUGGAUUUUAGAUUCAAAUGCCAACGAAUCGAUGGCUUUAGAGGAAGGAGAAGUCGUAACA